GAUGAACGCUGGCGGCGUGCCUAAUACAUGCAAGUCGAGCGCACAAAGGAGGUGCUUGCUCCUAUUGCGUGAGCGGCGGACGGGUGAGUAACACGUGGGUAACCUGCCUUUGAGCCUGGGAUAACUUCUGGAAACCGAUGCUAAUACCGGAUAAAAUCUUUAAACACAAGGUUCAAUAGUGAAAGAUGCAUUUGCUUCACCUAAUAGUGAUACCGCGGUCGCAUAGGUUAGUGGUUAGGGAAACGCCUAACCAAGCGAAGAUAGAGAAGCGGCCCUGAGAGGGUGAUCGCCCACACGGGAACUGAGACACGGUCCAAACUCCUACGGGAGGCAGCAUAGGGGAAUCUUGGGCAAGGGGGGAAAGCCUGACGGAGCAAGGCGGCGUGGGUGAGGAAGGUCUUCGGAUCGUAAACCUCUUUUAUUGGGGAGGAAGAUAGGUAGAAGUAAAUAUUCAUGUAUUGACGGUACCUACUCAGAAAGCGACGGCUAACUACGUG
This 497-nucleotide ribosomal RNA is filed under the name uncultured bacterium. RNAcentral's name for it is "partial 16S ribosomal RNA". It matches the Rfam family "Bacterial small subunit ribosomal RNA", at positions 28 to 507 of the family's 1533-position model. The record is from RNAcentral.